GCCCGGUUAGCUCAAUCGGUAGAGCGUGAGACUCUUAAUCUCAAGGUUGCGGGUGAGUUUAUACUAAAGCAAUUCCCGGCUUCGAGUU
Molecule: non-coding RNA, 88 nt
Organism: Camillea tinctor
Lineage: Eukaryota; Fungi; Ascomycota; Sordariomycetes; Xylariales; Graphostromataceae
Source: the annotation of a GenBank genome assembly